RNAcentral lists this ribosomal RNA (505 nucleotides) under uncultured bacterium. RNAcentral's name for it is "partial 16S ribosomal RNA". It matches the Rfam family "Bacterial small subunit ribosomal RNA", at positions 28 to 507 of the family's 1533-position model. The record is from RNAcentral.
GACGAACGCUGGCGGCGUGCCUAAUACACGCAAGUAGAACGCACAGUUUAUACCGUAGCUUGCUACACCAUAGACUGUGAGUUGCGAACGGGUGAGUAACGCGUAGGUAACCUGCCUGGUAGCGGGGGAUAACUAUUGGAAACGAUAGCUAAUACCGCAUAAUAUUAAUUAUUGCAUGAUAAUUAAUUGAAAGGUGCAAUUGCUCCACUACCAGAUGGACCUGCGUUGUAUUAGCUAGUAGGUGAGGUAACGGCUCACCUAGGCGACGAUACAUAGCCGACCUGAGAGGGUGAUCGGCCACACUGGGACUGAGACACGGCCCAGACUCCUACGGGAGGCAGCAGUAGGGAAUCUUCGGCAAUGGACGAAAGUCUGACCGAGCAACGCCGCGUGAGUGAAGAAGGGUUUCGGAUCGUAAAGCUCUGUUGUAAGAGAAGAACGGGUGUGAGAGUGGAAAGUUCACACUGUGACGGUAUCUUACCAGAAAGAGACGGCUAACUACGUG